This 551-nucleotide ribosomal RNA is filed under the name uncultured archaeon. RNAcentral's name for it is "bacterial SSU rRNA". It matches the Rfam family "Archaeal small subunit ribosomal RNA", at positions 325 to 878 of the family's 1478-position model. The record is from RNAcentral.
ACGGGGUGCAGCAGGCGCGAAGCCUUCGCAAUGCGCGCAAGCGCGACGAGGUUAUUCUGAGUGAUUCCCGCUGAGGGAAUCUUUUCUUAGAUCUAAAAAGUCUGGGGAAUAAGGGGAGGGCAAGUCUGGUGUCAGCCGCCGCGGUAAUACCAGCUCCUCGAGUGGUCAGGGCGUUUAUUGGGCCUAAAGCAUCCGUAGCCUGCUCAGUAGGUCUCCUGUUAAAUCCAACGGCUCAACCGUUGGUCUGCAGGAGAUACCGCUGGGCUAGGAGGCGGGAGAGGCGGACGGUACUCCGAGGGUAGGGGUAAAAUCCUUUGAUCCGUAGAAGACUACCAGUGGCGAAGGCGGUCCACCAGAACGCGCUCGACGGUGAGGGAUGAAAGCUGGGGGAGCGAACCGGAUUAGAUACCCGGGUAGUCCCAGCCGUAAACGACGCGAGCUAGAUGAUCCAAUCGCAAAUCGCGAUUGGAGUGUCGCAGGGAAGCCGUUAAGCUCGCCGCCUGGGGAGUACGGUCGCAAGACUGAAACUUAAAGGAAUUGGCGGGGGAGCA